CUUAUACUCCCUUCGUCCGGAAAUACUUGUUAUCAAAAUGAAUAAAAGAAGAUGUAUCUAUAUGUAUUUUAGUUUUAGAUAUAUCUCUUUUUGUCUAUUUUAAUGACAAGUAUUUUCGGACGGAGGAAGUAUUUA
Non-coding RNA from Triticum aestivum (bread wheat), 135 nucleotides. The record is from Rfam. NCBI's taxonomy places the organism in Eukaryota, Viridiplantae, Streptophyta, Magnoliopsida, Poales, Poaceae.